GAUGAACGCUGGCGGCGUGCCUAAUACAUGCAAGUCGAGCGAACAGAUAAGGAGCUUGCUCCUUUGACGUUAGCGGCGGACGGGUGAGUAACACGUGGAUAACCUACCUAUAAGACUGGGAUAACUUCGGGAAACCGGAGCUAAUACCGGAUAACAUAUUGAACCGCAUGGUUCAAUAGUGAAAGGCGGCUUUGCUGUCACUUAUAGAUGGAUCCGCGCCGUAUUAGCUAGUUGGUAAGGUAACGGCUUACCAAGGCAACGAUACGUAGCCGACCUGAGAGGGUGAUCGGCCACACUGGAACUGAGACACGGUCCAGACUCCUACGGGAGGCAGCAGUAGGGAAUCUUCCGCAAUGGGCGAAAGCCUGACGGAGCAACGCCGCGUGAGUGAUGAAGGUCUUCGGAUCGUAAAACUCUGUUAUCAGGGAAGAACAAAUGUGUAAGUAACGGUGCACAUCUUGACGGUACCUGAUCAGAAAGCCACGGCUAACUACGU
Molecule: ribosomal RNA, 496 nt
Filed under: uncultured bacterium
Lineage: Bacteria
Description: partial 16S ribosomal RNA
Rfam family: Bacterial small subunit ribosomal RNA
Source: RNAcentral